CGGGCACUUUCGGGUGUCAGCGGCGGACGGGUGAGUAACGCGUGGGAACGUGCCCUCUGGUUCGGAACAACCCUGGGAAACUAGGGCUAAUACCGGAUACGCCCUUUUUGGGGAAAGGCUUGCUGCCGGAGGAUCGGCCCGCGUCUGAUUAGCUUGUUGGUGGGGUAACGGCCUACCAAGGCGACGAUCAGUAGCUGGUCUGAGAGGAUGAUCAGCCACACUGGGACUGAGACACGGCCCAG
Molecule: ribosomal RNA, 242 nt
Filed under: uncultured bacterium
Lineage: Bacteria
Description: partial 16S ribosomal RNA
Rfam family: Bacterial small subunit ribosomal RNA
Source: RNAcentral